This is an RNA transcript of Caenorhabditis elegans, 1313 nucleotides long. It is a transcript of the gene named Non-coding transcript of protein-coding gene str-81, with no coding region annotated. The transcript has 8 exons. The record is from RefSeq and is marked reviewed. NCBI's taxonomy places the organism in Eukaryota, Metazoa, Nematoda, Chromadorea, Rhabditida, Rhabditidae.
AUGACUACUACUACUGUCACUUUUCCAAUUCUCCAGUUGCCCACGCAGGCUCUGAGAAAAGCACUUUGGAUAUUGGCACCCCGUGAUAUAAUCAAUUUUGCUCUAAUCUCCGAAUCUGCAAAACAAGCAGCUGAGUCAUUGAAUCUCAAAAAGAAGCAAAUUGUGAUCGAUGUUAAUGAAACAAUUUCCGUAGAAGUCACUGAUUUCAAAUUCGGAUGACAGUGCUUAAAGGUUCGGUGUGGAUAGCACUCACAUCGUUUAUCGAUUUGGCAGCUCUAAGCUUUUCAAUUCCCGUCAAUCUUCUUUUGUUGUACUGUAUUUGCACAAAAUCUGAAAAAUCAUUUGGUCGAUACAAACAUCUCAUGGCUUGGUUUUCAAUGCAAAGCAUAUUUUUUACGAUUAUCGCUUCUGUCACACACAUGUGUUUCCACACAAUUGGAGGAACAUUUAUGAUGUUUACUAUAAGUAAUCACUUGAAUCUUCCAUCAUGGGGUAUUUGGGCUUCAUUAGGUUUAUGUUGUGUAUCCGUUGGAUAUGUUCUUUUGAUUCUUAGUGCACAAUUUGUUUUUCGGUAUUUUGCAAUGCACAAUAAAAAAAAUCUGAAAUACUUCUUCGGCUGGCGUCUUCUAUAUUUCGUAUUUUCAAUGUUGAUUGUAGCUGUUGUCUAUGGAGGAUGUGGCUUUGUAGGUAUUAAUCUAACAGCGGAAAAAGAUAAAUCAAUAAGAGAAUCGAUGGCUUUAGUUUAUGAAGUGCCAGCUGAGCAAGUAUAUUAUGUGGCAGUCGAAUACUUUGUUCGAAAUGAGAAAAACGAAAGAGUUCUCAAUUAUUUAUCCAUUGGCACUGCUCUUACACUCAACAGUGUAUUUGGUGCAAUGGUUAUUGUGAUUAUUUAUUGUGGAGUUAAAACCUACAAAGUGACACAUAAAACUACAUCCCACUUGUCUUCGCAUAUGUAUAUUCAAAAACAAUUAUUCACAGCGCUUCUUGUUCAGACCCUUACACCAACUGCCUUAAUUUUUGUUCCGUGUGCAAUAUUUUAUGUUCUCCCACUUUUCGAACUUCCACUUGACGCCGACGCUAAUAUUCUCAGUAUAUCAUUGGUUUUGUAUCCUAUGAUUGACCCAAUUGGAGUUUUGUUCAUCAUCAAGCCGUACAGGAAUUUCUUGAAAAAACUCUUUUGCCAUCGUCUCGUUCGUCAAAAUCGAUGCAGUACAAUAGAAAUGAAUGUUUCAAGUAUAUCGAGCCGGAAAAAAGAAAAGAAAGGAGGGUCGUCAGAUGAAACUUCUCCGCGAUUUGAUUCCAUUCAAAAUUAA